This 629-nucleotide unclassified non-coding RNA is filed under the name uncultured Bradyrhizobium sp. RNAcentral's name for it is "partial 16S-23S ribosomal RNA intergenic spacer". The stretch from base 508 to 629 matches the Rfam family "Bacterial large subunit ribosomal RNA", at positions 1 to 121 of the family's 2925-position model. Lineage: Bacteria; Pseudomonadati; Pseudomonadota; Alphaproteobacteria; Hyphomicrobiales; Nitrobacteraceae. The record is from RNAcentral.
UCUUCCCAGGCCCACCACUUUCAUCGAGUGAGCAUUCGUCUUCUGGUUACGGGGCCAUAGCUCAGCUGGGAGAGCGCGUGCUUUGCAAGCAUGAGGUCGUCGGUUCGAUCCCGUCUGGCUCCACCAGAUGGUUUGAUCACCGAGAUCUUGACCGUCGUCCGCGAAACAUCACUUCGCAUCCUGCUAGUCUGGAUAGACAGCAGUUUGCGUGUUUUCUGACAUCGUAAAGAGGAGAUCGAUCCGAGUUGGGUCGUGCAGCAUAUCGUUGCGCGAGCCUUCAUUAUCUCCGGAUCAUUUCGGCGCUCGCUUCCAGCCGUGAGGUUGGAUGCGGGUUGUAAAUGAUCCUUUUAGCGAAGCUUGACCGCCUCGCUAUCGGAACGAUCUUACGAAGCAAGCUGGUCUUUCUAGUCAAUGUCCGGCUGCGGAUAGCGUUCAUCGAGGGCGCGUGCCGCAAGGCAAUUCUGCAGACAACAUUCUGCCGAGUGUGUGGACAUUGAUAAUGAGAGCAAUCAAGUGCCUUAAGGGUGUUCGGUGGAUGCCUUGGCGCUGAGAGGCGAUGAAGGACGUGCUACGCUGCGAUAAGCCGUGGGGAGCUGCGAAGAAGCUUUGAUCCGCGGAUUUCCGAAUGG